CUUGCAAUUCGAUUUCAGCUAUGCAGGGAAGGGAGACAAUAGCAUUUUCUUCUCUUUAUUCAGGCUGAUUCCUUUUUAAACCAUAUUAAAAUGCAUCAGAACUGCCAGCCAUUAUAAAGCUCUGAGAUACCAAGCAAAUGAGAUUAACACUGUAGGAUGCACAAAACAAGCAUGUAGCUGGAAGACUGGUCAGCUACUACUGCCAACUUUGAUGGAGUCUUUGUGGAAACCUGGGAGCCCGAUCCUGGAGAGUGCUUC
Molecule: long non-coding RNA, 258 nt
Filed under: Struthio camelus australis
Lineage: Eukaryota; Metazoa; Chordata; Aves; Struthioniformes; Struthionidae
Description: lncRNA (ENSSCUG00000014058.1)
Source: RNAcentral